CAAAAGCAGCAGCACUCCAGAUUUCAUCGACUGCUUCUAUAGGCACAGGGGAAAACUACGCCGAUUCUGUUAGAUUUUAGAGUUGUUUAGGGCCUUGGUCUGUGUGCCUUCACUCUGUCCAGAUGGCAGUGAGGUCAGACUUGCUAAUUAACAGCAAAAAUGCAAAGGAAGUGGACAAUGAAGACCGAUUUGCAUUCAGUAGCAGAAAAUUAGGUUUUCUAGGUGUAUGCACAAAAGCUCGAAGGACUCCAAAUUAGCAGCCACUCCUGGAAAUUUUACCUUUCGGUUACUCUGUAGGAGGACACUUGACAAAGACAAACAAGGAUUAAGG
Molecule: long non-coding RNA, 331 nt
Organism: Grus americana (Whooping crane)
Lineage: Eukaryota; Metazoa; Chordata; Aves; Gruiformes; Gruidae
Exons: 3
Source: RefSeq, a predicted model, not a curated record